UUUCCGUAGGUGAACCUGCGGAAGGAUCAUUAUUGUAUAACCGAACUGCGAAAGCUGUCUCUACAUCGCUAGGUCGUGCACGCCCGAGUUCCCUCACCCACAUCCAUCUCCCCCAUCUGUGCACAACCGCGUGGCUCCCCAUUUGGCUCUUUUGGUGCGGUGCUUACGUUUUCACACAAACUUUGUAUGCAGCGAAGAAUGUAUUUUUUGUUUUUGCGAUCACGCAAUCAAUACAAAUUUCAACAACGGAUCUUAUGGCUCUCGUAUCGUCGAAGCACC
RNAcentral lists this unclassified non-coding RNA (279 nucleotides) under plant metagenome. Its description in RNAcentral is "partial contains small subunit ribosomal RNA, internal transcribed spacer 1, and 5.8S ribosomal RNA". The record is from RNAcentral.